GUGCCAGCAGCCGCGGUAAUACGUAGGAUCCGAGCGUUGUCCGGAAUUACUGGGUGUAAAGGGCGUGUAGGUGGAUCUCUAAGUCGGUGGUGAAAUCCUGCAGCUUAACUGUAGAAUUGCCUUCGAUACUGGAGAUCUUGAGUGCGGCAGAGGGAGACGGAAUUCAUGGUGUAGCGGUGAAAUGUGUAGAUAUCAUGAAGAACACCGGUUGCGAAGGCGGUUUCCUGGUCCGUUACUGACACUGAGGCGCGAAAGCGUGGGGAGCAAACAGGAUUAGAAACCCCGGUAGUCC
This 292-nucleotide ribosomal RNA is filed under the name uncultured bacterium. Its description in RNAcentral is "partial 16S ribosomal RNA". It matches the Rfam family "Bacterial small subunit ribosomal RNA", at positions 505 to 796 of the family's 1533-position model. The record is from RNAcentral.